CUGUUUCACUCCACUCUUUCACCAUAUGAGACCCGCCGGCGAAAAAAAGGAGUGUUCCGUUUGAAUGGCGGUGCGGCAGUGUGGAGACCUGCCGUAAUGGGGUAUUUCCCCGAGUCUGUCCCAUGCGGAGGCAGGACAGAUACAUUCAGCAUUAUGGCA
RNAcentral lists this non-coding RNA (159 nucleotides) under bovine gut metagenome. RNAcentral's name for it is "malK-I RNA". It matches the Rfam family "malK-I RNA". The record is from RNAcentral.